This is a non-coding RNA of Misgurnus anguillicaudatus (oriental weatherfish), 1355 nucleotides long. The record is from RefSeq and is a predicted model, not a curated record. Lineage: Eukaryota; Metazoa; Chordata; Actinopteri; Cypriniformes; Cobitidae.
UCUUUUGUUUCGAAUCAUUGGUUCGGAGCUUGUUUUAAACUGGCCAAAUUCACGUGAUUUUAGCAAACGAGUCUUCAUUAUGUCAUAAUUGUUUCGAAACGUUUUGAAAAUCCGACAAUUCACCACUACGAGGAGUUGAUCACAAAUGACCAGUGUAGGUGAACUUAGGUCAGUUUUUUUUAUAAAUGUUCAUAAAACAUUCAUCCUUCUUACUAAUAACACUACCGUUUUGUCUACUUUUUUUUUUUAGACAGAAUUAAUGACAAAAUUGUGCAUAAUUAAAAAGAGAGUUUGUUUUAAUGAUUUUCUUUGCUAUAAAUAAAACUAAAAACACAUAAUACACUUUUAAUUAUGUCUUAAUUAAAUUAAAUUAUUUUUCUUAAAAUAUAUUUUUAGAACAAUCUUGCUAUUAUUUUGUAGAAAGUGUAAAAUGUUUGGACAGAUUUUGCAAUUGUUCAAUUGAUUUGAAGCUUCGAAAAGCUUAGUUUUUCCCAUCACUAGUGCACAAGAGGUGAAUCCAGAUCCAACCAUGUACAAGAACCAAAACUGUGAAAAACGCCUUAUUACAGGCCAAGCCCCGCCCUUUUUAGUUAAGACCAUCAUUAACACAAGCGGUAAGUAAACAGGUAAGUAGUAUGUACAUUUACACAACACAAUUAUAUAUAUAAACAUAUAUUAACGAAAUAUUUAUAGAAACCAAAAGGUGAUCAAAAUAACAAACACAAAAGAUAAACAAAAAUAAUAAACACAAAAUAAUAAUAUCUAAUUUAAUUAUUCCCCCUGCAACAGACAGGAUAAUGGACGAGCCGGCUUCCGGCUGCUUCACGCCGACACGCCCACUCAUAGCGGACCCGGCGCUAUUUAUUCAGGCCGCAGGUGGCGAUCGGGUUCGACCGGCCGAUUACGGAGAAGCAACGCGGAAGACGCUAAUAACAGGUUGGUUGGGGGCCCCAAGCAGCCGCCUACCUACGCCUCUAUGUUAAGACCGCAUCUGCGAUGGCAUGAGGGUGAGCAAAUUAUGAGAGAAUUUGCACAUUAAGCUUACAAAGCUGUCCAUAACCUUUUGAGAGGACUGAAAUGUCAGCCAGCCCUUGUUAAAGAAGCUCAUGAUCCCAUGGAAGCCAUCAGAUAUAUGCUGCCAUGUGACAUCAACACCUAGAUCCUUCAGUCGCUUUUGGAACAGAAUGCCAUCAUCCCUCAGCACAUCAAACUCACAGGCUCGUACACCCUCACUGGAACUCCACUGAAGGUCAUGUCCUUAAUACAAAGCCCAGGGGGAUGCGGCCCUUUGUGGACCAUGAUGCGAGCUCUGCACCAUCGUGUGAAAUUCACUUGAUCGCAUAGCCCCAGUCGCU